UUCCUGUCCAACGUUAAUCGGGGCAGGGUGAGUCGACCCCUAAGGCGAGGCCGAAAGGCGUAGUCGAUGGGAAACGGGUUAAUAUUCCCGUACUUGGUGUUACUGCGAAGGGGGGACGGAGAAGGCUAUGUUGGCCGGGCGACGGUUGUCCCGGUUUAAGCGUGUAGGUAUGUGUUCCAGGUAAAUCCGGUUCACUUUAACACUGAGGCGUGACGACGAGGCACUACGGUGCUGAAGCAACAAAUGCCCUGCUUCCAGGAAAAGCCUCUAAGCAUCAGGUAACAUCAAAUCGUACCCCAAACCGACACAGGUGGUCAGGUAGAGAAUACCAAGGCGCUUGAGAGAACUCGGGUGAAGGAACUAGGCAAAAUGGUGCCGUAACUUCGGGAGAAGGCACGCUGACACGUAGGUGAAGUGAUUUACUCACGGAGCUGAAGUCAGCCGAAGAUACCAGCUGGCUGCAACUGUUUAUUAAAAACACAGCACUGUGCAAACACGAAAGUGGACGUAUACGGUGUGACGCCUGCCCGGUGCCGGAAGGUUAAUUGAUGGGGUCAGCGCAAGCGAAGCUCCUGAUCGAAGCCCCGGUAAACGGCGGCCGUAACUAUAACGGUCCUAAGGUAGCGAAAUUCCUUGUCGGGUAAGUUCCGACCUGCACGAAUGGCGUAAUGAUGGCCAGGCUGUCUCCACCCGAGACUCAGUGAAAUUGAACUCGCUGUGAAGAUGCAGUGUACCCGCGGCAAGACGGAAAGACCCCGUGAACCUUUACUAUAGCUUGACACUGAACAUUGAGCCUUGAUGUGUAGGAUAGGUGGGAGGCUUUGAAGUGUGGACGCCAGUCUGCAUGGAGCCGACCUUGAAAUACCACCCUUUAAUGUUUGAUGUUCUAACGUGGACCCGUGAUCCGGGUUGCGGACAGUGUCUGGUGGGUAGUUUGACUGGGGCGGUCUCCUCCUAAAGAGUAACGGAGGAGCACGAAGGUUGGCUAAUCCUGGUCGGACAUCAGGAGGUUAGUGCAAUGGCAUAAGCCAGCUUGACUGCGAGCGUGACGGCGCGAGCAGGUGCGAAAGCAGGUCAUAGUGAUCCGGUGGUUCUGAAUGGAAGGGCCAUCGCUCAACGGAUAAAAGGUACUCCGGGGAUAACAGGCUGAUACCGCCCAAGAGUUCAUAUCGACGGCGGUGUUUGGCACCUCGAUGUCGGCUCAUCACAUCCUGGGGCUGAAGUAGGUCCCAAGGGUAUGGCUGUUCGCCAUUUAAAGUGGUACGCGAGCUGGGUUUAGAACGUCGUGAGACAGUUCGGUCCCUAUCUGCCGUGGGCGCUGGAGAACUGAGGGGGGCUGCUCCUAGUACGAGAGGACCGGAGUGGACGCAUCACUGGUGUUCGGGUUGUCAUGCCAAUGGCACUGCCCGGUAGCUAAAUGCGGAAGAGAUAAGUGCUGAAAGCAUCUAAGCACGAAACUUGCCCCGAGAUGAGUUCUCCCUGAGACUUUAGGUCUCCUGAAGGAACGUUGAAGACGACGACGUUGAUAGGCCGGGUGUGUAAGCGCAGCGAUGCGUUGAGCUAACCGGUACUAAUGAACCGUGAGGCUUAACCUU
Molecule: ribosomal RNA, 1595 nt
Filed under: Salmonella enterica subsp. enterica
Lineage: Bacteria; Pseudomonadati; Pseudomonadota; Gammaproteobacteria; Enterobacterales; Enterobacteriaceae
Description: partial 23S ribosomal RNA
Rfam family: Bacterial large subunit ribosomal RNA
Source: RNAcentral